This 697-nucleotide unclassified non-coding RNA is filed under the name Hevea brasiliensis (rubber tree). The record is from RNAcentral. Lineage: Eukaryota; Viridiplantae; Streptophyta; Magnoliopsida; Malpighiales; Euphorbiaceae.
AAACCCUAUUUCUCUUUUCCAUAGAGACACCUUUAGUCUCUAGCAAUCGUCCUUCCCCAUCUUGCUCAUCCUCCUCCUUUGCACUCUUUGAUCUUUCUACAUGUAAAGGCUAAACUGCAUCUAAUUUCUGUUUUUGGUCUUCAUCACGUUGUUCUCUUUGAUCAGUGCAUCGUACUACCAAUGUUCACUCGACCCAUUAGACAGAGACCCCAACACAUCCUCAUCUCGAAACCAUCAGAAGACCAUUCACUGAGUUCGCCUCGAUGCCAUUAGAGAUGGAGACCUGUUGUCGAUGUGCCUUAUGGUGAGAGAUCGUCGAUGAUGAGUGAAUGCUUCAAUGAUAUUUUUUACUGUUGAAUAUAAUUAUUUAUUUGAAUGUAAUUAUUCAAAUCUAUAAAUUGUAAUUUUUCAAUGAUGAUUUUUGUUGGUGUUGUUGAUUGAAUUUGUUAGCGGUGUCGAUUUAAAUUGUUGUUGUGAAUUUGGGCUACUAGGAAUUUGGGAUUGAGACGGGGGAAUUGGACGACACCAUUUGGGACUGGAAAUUCAAGAUUGUGAGACAGGGGAAUCAUUUGGUCAUUUCUUCGAACCAUGGUUUUAAAUCGAAUCAAACUGAAUUGAUUUGAUUUUUUUCUAAAUUCGGUUUGUUUUAGUUAGGAUUUUACAUUAAUUAAUUAUUCAAUUUAUUGAACCAAAUAGG